GACGAACGCUGGCGGCGUGCUUAACACAUGCAAGUCGAACGGAAAGGCCCUGCUUUUGUGGGGUGCUCGAGUGGCGAACGGGUGAGUAACACGUGAGUAACCUGCCCUUGACUUUGGGAUAACUUCAGGAAACUGGGGCUAAUACCGGAUAGGAGCUCCUGCUGCAUGGUGGGGGUUGGAAAGUUUCGGCGGGUGGGGAUGAACUCGCGGCUUAUCAGCUUGUUGGUGGGGUAGUGGCUUACCAAGGCUUUGACGGGUAGCCGGCCUGAGAGGGUGACCGGCCACAUUGGGACUGAGAUACGGCCCAGACUCCUACGGGAGGCAGCAGUGGGGAAUAUUGCACAAUGGGCGGAAGCCUGAUGCAGCAACGCCGCGUGCGGGAUGACGGCCUUCGGGUUGUAAACCGCUUUCGCCUGUGACGAAGCGUGAGUGACGGUAAUGGGUAAAGAAGCACCGGCUAACUACGUG
This 468-nucleotide ribosomal RNA is filed under the name uncultured bacterium. RNAcentral describes it as "partial 16S ribosomal RNA". It matches the Rfam family "Bacterial small subunit ribosomal RNA", at positions 28 to 507 of the family's 1533-position model. The record is from RNAcentral.